Long non-coding RNA from Zophobas morio, 1050 nucleotides. RefSeq lists it as uncharacterized. The transcript has 2 exons. Lineage: Eukaryota; Metazoa; Arthropoda; Insecta; Coleoptera; Tenebrionidae. The record is from RefSeq and is a predicted model, not a curated record.
GCCAUAAACCUAACAAAUUGUGUGUAUUGUCUAACACGUAGAUUAUUUAGAAAGCUGUAAAAAUAGGCGUCGUAAUUUCGAUCAGUCAGCCGGAGAACGCACAAAACCAAUAACUUAUUUUUUAUUUACGAAAUCGUACACGUACACGUGUGUACACAAUAGGAAGAAAGCAGGAAAAAAAGAAUGAAGUGUUAUGUAAAGUAUCGCCAUGAUCACACACUGUGACUUCAAAAGAAGAAACUUGGUAGAUUAAAAAGAUUUUGAGACUUCUACGUUACAGUUUCUACUUUUCAGUAAUUUAGUUACUGUCACUGAUUUUCAAAAAGUAUCAAACAUUGAUUGUUGAAGAUUUGCCUACAAAUGUGGUCGAAAAGUGAUUGCAGACUUACUUCUGACCAAAUCGCGUGAAUCUAUGAGUUUGUCUAUAGGCGUUUUGUGAGAUGGUAUAAGGAAAAAAACAGUGAAACCUAUUCCGAGAACGUUUUGAUGGUGUAUUUUGUCGAUUUGGCAAAAACAAUGAAAUCAUCCACACUGUGGUCGCAAUAUUCCAUAGUAAAGGCGAGUUUUAAUAUAAAAAAAUGGCAUAGACAUAGAAAAAUUUUCAAAACUAAGAGCGUUUUUGAAGAAACAAGCGGAAGGUUACAAGUCAAAGAAAUCAAGUGUUUUAACAAAUGACCAAAUAGAAGAUUUUUUAAGCCAUGCUCCAGAUGAAAAAUAUUUAUUUACGAAAGUCGUUACAAUCUUCGGAGGGAGUGGCGCAGACCGUUGUCAAGAAUUGGUGGAAUUAAGAACAGACAAUAUUGAAAAUAUUAAAUCCGGUCUACUUGUAACGAUUCCUCAUACGAAAACUAAAAAGCCAAGAUCAUUUACCGUUCUGUGGAAAAAUAUUUUAAUAUUUACCAUAAAUACAGGGUUAUUCAGCUAAGAUGACCAAUUUGUGUUUUUAAAAUAGGCAACCCAUAAUACCGAUUCCACUUGAGCCUGUAUUACAAAAAAUGUUCCAAAAUUGAAUUGUAUCAAAGUUAAUGAUUAAAAGUAAAUGUUUCCUUG